This 329-nucleotide ribosomal RNA is filed under the name uncultured eukaryote. RNAcentral's name for it is "partial 18S ribosomal RNA". It matches the Rfam family "Eukaryotic small subunit ribosomal RNA", at positions 1470 to 1796 of the family's 1831-position model. The record is from RNAcentral.
CCCUUAGAUGUUCUGGGCCGCACGCGCGCUACACUGAUGCAUUCAACGAGUCUAAAACCUGCUCUGAUAGGGGUGGGUAAUCUUUUGAAUAUGCAUCGUGAUUGGGAUAGAUGAUUGCAAUUUUUCAUCUUCAACGAGGAAUGCCUAGUAAACGCAAGUCAUCAGCUUGCAUUGAUUACGUCCCUGCCCUUUGUACACACCGCCCGUCGCUCCUACCGAUUGAAUGAUCCGAUGAAUAUCAUGGAUUGAGGAUGCAAGUAGGUUCGCCUAUCUUCAUCUUCGAGAAGUGAAGUAAAUCUUAUCAUUUAGAGGAAGGAGAAGUCGUAACA